GUUAUUUGAGGUGGGAAAGGUUCCCCACGCGCUAUCCAAUGGGUAGUUACCAGAGAUCAGGAGUGCCGCCCUGCUAAUAAC
This 81-nucleotide non-coding RNA is filed under the name Bacillus sp. 37MA. RNAcentral describes it as "skipping-rope RNA". It matches the Rfam family "skipping-rope RNA". From Rfam's summary of the family: Firmicutes, Fusobacteria, AlphaProteobacteria, Spirochaetes. Lineage: Bacteria; Bacillati; Bacillota; Bacilli; Caryophanales; Bacillaceae. The record is from Rfam by way of RNAcentral.